RNAcentral lists this ribosomal RNA (1175 nucleotides) under Escherichia coli. RNAcentral's name for it is "partial 23S ribosomal RNA". It matches the Rfam family "Bacterial large subunit ribosomal RNA", at positions 612 to 1783 of the family's 2925-position model. The record is from RNAcentral. Lineage: Bacteria; Pseudomonadati; Pseudomonadota; Gammaproteobacteria; Enterobacterales; Enterobacteriaceae.
AUAAUGGGUCAGCGACUUAUAUUCUGUAGCAAGGUUAACCGAAUAGGGGAGCCGAAGGGAAACCGAGUCUUAACUGGGCGUUAAGUUGCAGGGUAUAGACCCGAAACCCGGUGAUCUAGCCAUGGGCAGGUUGAAGGUUGGGUAACACUAACUGGAGGACCGAACCGACUAAUGUUGAAAAAUUAGCGGAUGACUUGUGGCUGGGGGUGAAAGGCCAAUCAAACCGGGAGAUAGCUGGUUCUCCCCGAAAGCUAUUUAGGUAGCGCCUCGUGAAUUCAUCUCCGGGGGUAGAGCACUGUUUCGGCAAGGGGGUCAUCCCGACUUACCAACCCGAUGCAAACUGCGAAUACCGGAGAAUGUUAUCACGGGAGACACACGGCGGGUGCUAACGUCCGUCGUGAAGAGGGAAACAACCCAGACCGCCAGCUAAGGUCCCAAAGUCAUGGUUAAGUGGGAAACGAUGUGGGAAGGCCCAGACAGCCAGGAUGUUGGCUUAGAAGCAGCCAUCAUUUAAAGAAAGCGUAAUAGCUCACUGGUCGAGUCGGCCUGCGCGGAAGAUGUAACGGGGCUAAACCAUGCACCGAAGCUGCGGCAGCGACACUAUGUGUUGUUGGGUAGGGGAGCGUUCUGUAAGCCUGUGAAGGUGUACUGUGAGGUAUGCUGGAGGUAUCAGAAGUGCGAAUGCUGACAUAAGUAACGAUAAAGCGGGUGAAAAGCCCGCUCGCCGGAAGACCAAGGGUUCCUGUCCAACGUUAAUCGGGGCAGGGUGAGUCGACCCCUAAGGCGAGGCCGAAAGGCGUAGUCGAUGGGAAACAGGUUAAUAUUCCUGUACUUGGUGUUACUGCGAAGGGGGGACGGAGAAGGCUAUGUUGGCCGGGCGACGGUUGUCCCGGUUUAAGCGUGUAGGCUGGUUUUCCAGGCAAAUCCGGAAAAUCAAGGCUGAGGCGUGAUGACGAGGCACUACGGUGCUGAAGCAACAAAUGCCCUGCUUCCAGGAAAAGCCUCUAAGCAUCAGGUAACAUCAAAUCGUACCCCAAACCGACACAGGUGGUCAGGUAGAGAAUACCAAGGCGCUUGAGAGAACUCGGGUGAAGGAACUAGGCAAAAUGGUGCCGUAACUUCGGGAGAAGGCACGCUGAUAUGUAGGUGAAGUCCCUCGCGGAUGGAGCUGAAAU